Molecule: RNA transcript, 3948 nt
Organism: Eleginops maclovinus (Patagonian blennie)
Lineage: Eukaryota; Metazoa; Chordata; Actinopteri; Perciformes; Eleginopidae
Gene name: putative transmembrane protein 244
Exons: 7
Source: RefSeq, a predicted model, not a curated record
GAUUUUGUGUGCCGAAUUAGCCAUACUUUUGAUGAAAUACACUCCGUCUUCACACACAAUCGUCAUAGUUUGCAAGACCAUAGAUACCGUUGUUAGCUAACAGUUAUAUGGAGAGAAAAGUCUUUAUUUUAGUCAACAAAGGCCGCCCAGAUAUGAGGUGAAAUGAGUUCAAUGCUCGGCUGUAGAAGCUGCGGCGCUGCGUUUUUUGUCUUGUGUUCAUCGCUAGAUGGCAGAAGAAGACCAUUUUUCUACUGGAUUAACGAGGUUGUAUAUCGUGCUGCUGCAGCCUGGAUUAUAUUGUAAUAACAUCAAGUAAAAACCAUGAAAUGGCAUUCAAAAGCAAAGCGGUCGAGUCAAAGACCGUGCUCUUCAAUCUCCUGCUAUGUCUGGCCAUAUUUUACUCUCUUUUUUACAUGAUUGGGAGUGUGUGCUUCGGUGCCUUCAGGUUGGAUCAUUUUGACGGACUGAUUCCAUUUGACUUCAAGACCGAACCCGCUGAAUCCAACUCCAAAUACUUGGUAAACCUCCUCUCCCUAGAGCUCACCUACUUUUGCAGUGGCCUUUUGUUUGCUGCAGUGGUGAGGAGGCGUGUAUGGGAUUAUGCCCUCACAGUCACACUUCUGCAUGUAAUUAUCACUAGCCUAGUGAUGUUGGAGUUUCCAAUGGUGUGGCAGUGGUGGCUGGCUUUAGGACUGUUGACACACUCUGAGGCAAUCCUUACCAUAACAAUACUUUAGGAGGAAAGACAUCCUGGCGUAACAGCAGUUUGUCAAGCAUGUCAGAGAACUACAGUGGCCUUCAGGAAGCGGCUUGUUUCUGAUGAUCUGCAAUGGUCAGCUGAUAGCUUACUUCACCUGUAAAAGUGACCAAAGCUACACAUCCUUCAGCAUCUACUGACAGACAGAACGCUACGAACGUUUUCAUAAACAGUCUUAUGAAGUGAGGUGGAAAGCAUCAGACCAGACAUCUCAUCAUGGAGACCACAAUUAGGUUGUCCAUAGUGAUGGGCUUAUGUGUUUUGUUACUAUGAAAAGACAUGAUUUCCUCACCAUCACGCUUAAGGUCAGAGCUGGGUCUACUUUGUUGCCAACCGACUGGCCUCCUUUUGUUUUCAUGUAAAUGCCACAAGGAGAUGUUUCUAUGUGUUUUGCUUUCACAAUCCCUCGGUUACUUUGCAGGAUGGUAAGGCCCCCUGUUGAGUAUUUUCAGUACUUUUGUGAGCUUUGAAUCGAUUGGUAGAGCAGGAAAGUUGCACUACAUGUUUCCUGUGUAUUAUGAAGAUAUAAAUGUUAAAAAAGCAGAUUGAGUGUUUUUUUCUUUAAUAUUAAUACACAUAAGGUAGCUAGAAAUUGUGAAAUAGUAACCAGGCUAUUUCAAAUUAGGAAUUAAUGCUUUAAAUAACUUUAAAAUGUUUAAAAAUAGAAUUCGAUUUAAUAAUUUAAAACAUAAAAAAUAAAUAUUUGAACAGACAUGCUCCCAGAUUUCGCGUUGUUAUGAACCCGGCUUUGCUGCCACGUACUCCACUGGGUUCAUGAAGGAGAAUCCUGGGAAGGCCUCGUUGGUCCCGGUUGACUGGCACUCAUUCACAGAGGCAGGGACAGGUUGUAGCGUGAACUCAGGGUCGAUGUUACUGAAAUCACAGGGGCCGGCCUAGAGCGGAGAGAGGAAUAAAAAAUAAAUACUUUCAGGAACACUGUGCAUUGGUUUUCAAAAUAUACUGCCUUCCAUUUCGUUCUGAAUCACACCUACCACUUUCGGGAUGAAAGGAGGUCUAACUUUUCUGGCCAGCAGGUCGUCCCAGUUGAUUGAUGCAAAGAAGGGAUGUUCCUGCAGCUCCGCCUGCAGACAGUGAAAUUAGACCAUCUGCAAUAAUGUGUGUGUAUUUUCAUCAAUGCUCGUCUCUGUUUUUGAUGUUUUGAUUGGACUUACAAGGUCACUGCUUCCCCCUAUGCGUUUGGAGACGUCUCUUUCCAGCAACCCCUUUAACAGUGAGGCCUGUGCACCUCCACUGCACACCUGCAGAGGAGCGUGAAGUAUGCUCUCAAACAUCUCUGCUUUGCAACGGCUGUAAAACGGAGGCCAGGAAAAAGGACAUGGAGGUGAAGGAAAUGCUUAAGAAGAUGAUGUGAAGAAAAAAUGAUUUAAUAUGCCACACUUACCAGUCCAUAGAGCAUCUCAAACAGCACAGUGCCGAGGCCCCACCAGUCCACUGCUGGACUGUACAGGAAGCCUUGUAGCACCUCUGGAGCGAGGUACUCAGGAGUCCCACAGAAUGUAUGCAUGAUCCCACUUACGGCCACACCUUCUUUACAAAGCCCCAAGUCAGUCAGCAUCACAUGACCCUCCUGGUCAAGCAAGAUGUUCUCUGGUUUGAGGUCCCUGGAAGACAGAGGCAAAAACUUGGAAUUUGGUCUGUUGGCUUGUUGUUCAGGAAAAUUAAGAAAAACCUACUGCCUGGAUCAUUUAUGAAACUUGGUAAAAGGUGAAGUCCAUGGUCCAUGGAAAAAUAAAACAUUAAGUGUUGGUGUGUAUCUGAACAGAGGAAUAGAUACAGUACAUGUCAUUUUUAGUAAUUGUCUAGGCAGAGGUGUUUGCUCUCCAUGAUCCCUUCUGGUUUCAACUCAUAUUGCAGUACAACUAAUAAUUCUUUAAAGUUCAUUUUUAAAUAUGAUUUUGGAGGACAUAGAUGUUUUCAGUGAUAAGAUUUUUAUGGAGAGUUCUCUUAUCAAAUUGAAUGUUUCAUUGGGAUUUUCCUGCAUAAAUAAUUAAACAUUUGGAGCAUGUUUAAAUCAAACAUGAGUAAGUGUCAAACCAAGUAAAAUAGAGCCUUUUACAAUGGCAUACUAUUUGUGUGUGUAUAUAUAUAUACACUGUACCUGUAAACGAUGUUGAGAGAGUGGAGGUAACCCAGUGCCAUGGCCAUCUCUGCAGCGUAGAAAGCAGCCCUGGGAGCAGGAAAUGAACCCUUUCCUUGAAGGUGGUAGAAAAGCCACAGACAAACUGAUGAGUUUGAACCUUUUCUGACUAAAUAGUAAAUUGCAUUGGCAUAGGAAAUAUGCAGCUGUUUCUUUCGUUUUUAUGCUAAAGAUAAAGAAAUUUUAACUGUAUAUAUGGGUUUCAGACAGUUGGUUACUGGCAAAGGGAGUCUGCUAGUUAUACACAUGCCUCCCCUCCAUUAACAUAGUCCAGGACGAAGUAGAGCGUGUUCAGUGACUGGAAAGAAAAGUGUAGCCCAACCAGGAAUGAAUGUUGUAGUCCCUUCAGAAGCACGCUCCUCUCAACUAUCACAUGCCUCUGCUACAGACAAAGCAGAAACAGUAAGUACAUGGACGGACAAACAGAUGAAUGGACAGAUGGACGGACGGGUGGAUGGAUUACCUCUUUCCUCUUGACAAUCAUCUGUUUCUGCAGCACUUUGACAGCAUAGUAACCUCCAUGUUUUCUAUGCCUUGCCAGCAGCACCUGUACGAGUUGUUCCAUUAAGCUGUGUCAUUUUAUUUCCCAACAAGAAAACUCACAGACACAAGCAUUUCAAAGUAAAAAUAAAACAUACCUUUCCAAAGCUGCCUUUGCCGAUAACUUUCAGAUAGUCAAAAUCUGACGGUUUCAUCCUGGUAAAAACAACAAAGGAAAACUAAAUGUGUUGUGAGCCAUAUGUUUGGAUUUCUAGGGGCCUAUCAUAUCGCAUUUUUCAACUGUGAAAAUGUAUUUUAUUUCUCACCAAUGAAACAUUAUUCUCAUUGUAAUAGUGGAAACUUAAGCAUAACUGUUUCUUUUUUAAAUGUUAGGCAACAAAUUGCUACCUUCAGAAAGAGUUGAUUUUUAAUGUGAAGCAAAAACAGCAGAACCUUUUGCUGUAACAACUUAUUACUUGACAUCAGGUGGCAAACUGAUUUACUGUGAAGUUUCUGUAUUCACUGAUGUCUGAGGAGAGAAAAGACACAUAAG